This 94-nucleotide non-coding RNA is filed under the name bovine gut metagenome. RNAcentral describes it as "SAM riboswitch (S box leader)". It matches the Rfam family "SAM riboswitch aptamer (S box leader)". Rfam says of the family: The SAM riboswitch is found upstream of a number of genes which code for proteins involved in methionine or cysteine biosynthesis in Gram-positive bacteria. The SAM riboswitch acts at the level of transcription termination control. The record is from RNAcentral.
UCUUAUCAAGAGUGGCGGAGGGGACAGGCCCUGUGAAGCCCGGCAACCUGUUUUUAGCAAGGUGCCAAGUCCUGCGGAUUAUCCGAAAGAUAAG